Molecule: ribosomal RNA, 460 nt
Filed under: uncultured bacterium
Lineage: Bacteria
Description: partial 16S ribosomal RNA
Rfam family: Bacterial small subunit ribosomal RNA
Source: RNAcentral
CCUACGGGAGGCAGCAGUGAGGAAUAUUGGUCAAUGGACGAGAGUCUGAACCAGCCAAGUAGCGUGAAGGAUGACUGCCCUAUGGGUUGUAAACUUCUUUUAUAAAGGAAUAAAACGAGGCACGUGUGCCUUUUUGCAUGUACUUUAUGAAUAAGGAUCGGCUAACUCCGUGCCAGCAGCCGCGGUAAUACGGAGGAUCCGAGCGUUAUCCGGAUUUAUUGGGUUUAAAGGGAGCGUAGAUGGGUUGUUAAGUCAGUUGUGAAAGUUUUCGGCUCAACCGUAAAAUUGCAAUUGAUACUGGUAGUCUUGAGUACAGUUGAGGUAGGCGGAAUUCGUGGUGUAGCGGUGAAAUGCUUAGAUAUCACGAAGAACCCCGAUUGCGAAGGCAGCUUACUAAACUGUGACUGACAUUGAUGCUCGAAAGUGUAGGUAUCAAACAGGAUUAGAUACCCUUGUAGUC